CCCUUAGAUGUUCUGGGCCGCACGCGCGUUACACUGAUGCAUUCAACGAGCUUAUAACCUUGGCCGAGAGGCCUGGGCAAUCUUGUUAACGUGCAUCGUGAUAGGGAUAGAUUAUUGAAAUUAUUAAUCUUGAACGAGGAAUUCCUAGUAAACGCAGAUCAUCAAUCUGCAUUGAUUACGUCCCUGCCCUUUGUACACACCGCCCGUCGCACCUACCGAUUGGAUGGUCCGGUGAAGCCUCGGGAUUGUGGUUCUUGCCGCUUUAUUGUGGCGUGACCGCGAGAACUUGCCUAAACCUUAUCAUCUAGAGGAAGGUGAAGUCGUAACA
RNAcentral lists this ribosomal RNA (328 nucleotides) under uncultured eukaryote. RNAcentral describes it as "partial 18S ribosomal RNA". It matches the Rfam family "Eukaryotic small subunit ribosomal RNA", at positions 1470 to 1796 of the family's 1831-position model. The record is from RNAcentral.